Molecule: ribosomal RNA, 253 nt
Filed under: uncultured bacterium
Lineage: Bacteria
Description: partial 16S ribosomal RNA
Rfam family: Bacterial small subunit ribosomal RNA
Source: RNAcentral
UACGAAGGGAGCUAGCGUUGUUCGGAAUCACUGGGCGUAAAGCGUGCGCAGGCGGCUUUGCAAGUCAGGGGUGAAAUGCCAAGGCUUAACCUUGGAACUGCCUUUGAAACUGCAUGGCUAGAGGACUGGAGGGGUUAGGGGAAUUCCUAAUGUAGCGGUGAAAUGCGUAGAUAUUAGGAGGAACACCAGCGGCGAAGGCGCCUAACUGGACAGUCACUGACGCUCAUGCACGAAAGCGUGGGGAUCAAACAGG